GGAUGUGAGGGGCCAUCUGGCUGCAACACCUGUCACCCCAUUGAUUGGCAGAGUUGAUUCCGCUGAUCUGGCUGGCUAGGUGUCCCCUUCCUCCUUCACUGCUCCAUGUGCGUCCCUCCUGAACCAGUGUUCUGGGUCAAAGAGGACGACCAUCCCAUACAGGAGGGCCGUCCCUCAGUCAAGGGCAUACGAGUAGCCACGUUCCCCUGCUAGAACCUCCAGACAAGCUCUCAAGUUCUCAGACACCUUUGCAAUUGGAAAGACGAAUUUCAAAAGAAAGGAAAUGUUUCCAUCUCUACAGAAAAGCCAAAGCUGUUUAAAAACCUUCUUU
Molecule: unclassified non-coding RNA, 331 nt
Organism: Piliocolobus tephrosceles (Ugandan red Colobus)
Lineage: Eukaryota; Metazoa; Chordata; Mammalia; Primates; Cercopithecidae
Gene: 7SK
Rfam family: 7SK RNA
About the family: 7SK was discovered as an abundant small nuclear RNA in the mid-70s but a possible function has only recently been suggested. Two independent studies have found that 7SK RNA binds the CDK9/cyclin T complex (known as elongation factor P-TEFb).
Source: Ensembl